UGAUUUCAUGUCACUUCUGGAAAGGCCAAAGAAUAAUUUUUGCAUGGUAAAAAUCCUGCCGAGGCCAUAAUGGAGGAAAUCCAAACGCACGAGGGAAGGAUUGGACAUUUUGUGAAGGAAAUGUUUGUACAAAUUUUUGUUUCAGGCCCUGAUGAGAACCAGAAAUUUCAGCAGUGUGUAACAAAGAAAAGGAAUGUGACUGAGAAGAAACAGUGAAAGCAGAGCUGUAGAAAGCGAUCGAGAUUUUACAAAGACUCUUAGGUUCCAGAGCAAAAGUGAGCAGUCUGGCACACAUUACUGCAGCUAAAAGCAAGACUUUUAAGAGUCUCAAGGCAUUCGAGUUUUUCUAACAGGAAAGAUUCCAAAUUGGUCCUCAGAAGCUCUCAACUGAAGGCAGGGAGUCUAGAUUUAGAUGAUUUCUUGAGAGUCCUAGCCUCCUGAAGCCCUGCAGCAUAAAUUCUUGCUUCCCUUGGCUCUAGUGAUUUGGUAUCACUUGAAUGACUUCAACAUUUGUUGCUCUAAUUAGUAAAUGAAAGCUCAGAUACCACCUGCCUCCAGACAGCAGUGGUUCGGUGUCUGCCACCCUGAGACGGGUGCCCACUCAGCUGUUUCGGAGGCAGAGAGCAAAGCUGCCUGAAGCCACCAGACACCUGACAGUUUUCAGAGUUCACGGACCCCAUUAAUCAGCUGGAAGGCAAGACUAUUUUCCUUUG
Tachyglossus aculeatus (Australian echidna) is the source of this 713-nucleotide long non-coding RNA. RefSeq lists it as uncharacterized. The transcript is spliced from 5 exons. The record is from RefSeq and is a predicted model, not a curated record. Lineage: Eukaryota; Metazoa; Chordata; Mammalia; Monotremata; Tachyglossidae.